This 599-nucleotide ribosomal RNA is filed under the name uncultured bacterium. Its description in RNAcentral is "bacterial SSU rRNA". It matches the Rfam family "Bacterial small subunit ribosomal RNA", at positions 59 to 651 of the family's 1533-position model. The record is from RNAcentral.
CAGUCGAACGAGAGACCUUCGGGUCUCUAGUGGCGAACGGGUGAGUAACACCUAGGGAACCUGCCCGCGCACCGGGAAUACGCUCUGGAAACCGAGAACAAAUCCCGAUGUACAGGAAGGAGGCAUCUUCUUUCUGUGAAACAUCCUUUAGGGGAUGGGGCGCGGAUGGACCUGCGGUGCAUUAGUUGGUUGGCGGGGUAAAGGCCCACCAAGACGAUGAUGCAUAGCCGGCCUGAGAGGGCGGACGGCCACAUUGGGACUGAGACACGGCCCAGACUCCUGCGGGAGGCAGCAGUAGGGAAUUUUCGUCAAUGGGCGCAAGCCUGAACGAGCGAUGCCGCGUGAGUGAAGAAGGCCUUCGGGUCGUAAAGCUCUGUUGCGGGGGAAAAAAGGCAGCAUCAGGAAAUGGGUGCUGACUGAUGGUGCCCCGCCAGAAAGUCACGGCUAACUACGUGCCAGCAGCCGCGGUAAUACGUAGGUGGCGAGCGUUAUCCGGAAUGAUUGGGCGUAAAGGGUGCGCAGGCGGUCCUGCAAGUCUGGAGUGAAACGCAUGAGCUCAACUCAUGCAUGGCUUUGGAAACUGGAGGACUGGAGAGCAG